UGGAAGAGGAGCACGUUAGGAACCACGAGGCGCUAAUGAUUCCUGGGUGCAGCCCAGUUCGGUUUGAGGACACCUUUGAACCGGUACUAGACCGAAAUAAUCAGAUGUACAUCGAGUACAUACGCAUGGGGUUUGAGAUGCCGACGGCUGACGGUAUUUUGGUGAAUACAUGGCAGGAUCUUGAGCCCAAAACGCUUGGUGCACUUGGAGGC
This 212-nucleotide unclassified non-coding RNA is filed under the name Hevea brasiliensis (rubber tree). The record is from RNAcentral. Lineage: Eukaryota; Viridiplantae; Streptophyta; Magnoliopsida; Malpighiales; Euphorbiaceae.